GGCCGGCUAGCUCAGUUGGUUAGAGCGUCGUGCUAAUAAUAUGCAGAAGGCAUGUGUUAUGUUAACGCGAAGGUCUUGGGUUCGAUCCCCACGUUGGCCA
Guyanagaster necrorhizus is the source of this 100-nucleotide non-coding RNA. NCBI's taxonomy places the organism in Eukaryota, Fungi, Basidiomycota, Agaricomycetes, Agaricales, Physalacriaceae. The record is from the annotation of a RefSeq genome assembly.